GACGAACGCUGGCGGCGUGCUUAACACAUGCAAGUCGAACGGAAAGGCCCUGCUUUUGCGGGGUGCUCGAGUGGCGAACGGGUGAGUAACACGUGAGUAACCUGCCCUUGACUUUGGGAUAACUUCAGGAAACUGGGGCUAAUACCGGAUAGGAGCUCCUGCUGCAUGGGGGGGGUUGGAAAGUUUCGGCGGUUGGGGAUGGACUCGCGGGUUAUCAGCUUGUUGGUGGGGUAGUGGCUUACCAAGCGUUUGGCGGGUAGGCGGCCUGAGAGGGCGGCCGGCGUCAUUGGGACUAAGGGAGGGAGCAGACGGGUACGGGAGGCAAUAGUGGGAAAUAUGACACAGUGGGCGGGAGCGUGAUGCGAAGACGCUGCGUGCGGGAUGACGGCCUACGGGGUGUGAACCGCUGUCGCCUGAGACGAAGCGUGAGUGACGGUAAUGGGUAAAGAAGCACCGGCUAACUACGUG
RNAcentral lists this ribosomal RNA (468 nucleotides) under uncultured bacterium. RNAcentral's name for it is "partial 16S ribosomal RNA". It matches the Rfam family "Bacterial small subunit ribosomal RNA", at positions 28 to 507 of the family's 1533-position model. The record is from RNAcentral.